GGAGGUGUGCUAGAGUGGUUUAAUAGGUCCGUCUACUAAACGGAAGGUCCGAAAGGGUCCGGGGGUCCGAAUCCCUCCACCUCUU
This 85-nucleotide transfer RNA is filed under the name Methanobrevibacter sp. Its description in RNAcentral is "tRNA-Ser". It matches the Rfam family "tRNA". From Rfam's summary of the family: Transfer RNA (tRNA) molecules are approximately 80 nucleotides in length. Their secondary structure includes four short double-helical elements and three loops (D, anti-codon, and T loops). The record is from RNAcentral. Lineage: Archaea; Methanobacteriati; Methanobacteriota; Methanobacteria; Methanobacteriales; Methanobacteriaceae.